CCUACGGGCGGCUGCAGUGAGGAAUAUUGGUCAAUUGGCGGAAGCCUGAACCAGCCAAGUAGCGUGCAGGAUGACGGCCCUACGGGUUGUAAACUGCUUUUAUACGGGAACAAAGCGCCUUACGUGUAGGGCUUUGCAUGUACCGUAUGAAUAAGGACCGGCUAAUUCCGUGCCAGCAGCCGCGGUAAUACGGAGGGUCCGGGCGUUAACCGGAUUUAGUGGGGUUAACGGGUGCGCAGGCGGUCUGUAAAGUCAGCGGGCAAAUCCCGGGGCGAAACCCCGGACCGCCGUUGAAACUGGCAGUCUCGAGUUGGAGAGAAGUAUGCGGAAUGCGCGGGGUAGCGGUGAAAUGCAUAGAUAUCGCGCAGAACUCCGAUUGCGAAGGCAGCAUGCCGGCUCCACACUGACGCUGAGGCACGAAAGCGUGGGUAUCGAACAGGAUUAGAUACCCGUGUAGUC
RNAcentral lists this ribosomal RNA (459 nucleotides) under uncultured bacterium. RNAcentral's name for it is "partial 16S ribosomal RNA". It matches the Rfam family "Bacterial small subunit ribosomal RNA", at positions 338 to 795 of the family's 1533-position model. The record is from RNAcentral.